Molecule: ribosomal RNA, 468 nt
Filed under: uncultured bacterium
Lineage: Bacteria
Description: partial 16S ribosomal RNA
Rfam family: Bacterial small subunit ribosomal RNA
Source: RNAcentral
GACGAACGCUGGCGGCGUGCUUAACACAUGCAAGUCGAACGGAAAGGCCCUGCUUUUGUGGGGUGCUCGAGUGGCGAACGGGUGAGUAACACGUGAGUAACCUGCCCUUGACUUUGGGAUAACUUCAGGAAACUGGGGCUAAUACCGGAUAGGAGCUCCUGCUGCAUGGUGGGGGUUGGAAAGUUUCGGCGGUUGGGGAUGGACUCGCGGCUUAUCAGCUUGUUGGUUGGGUAGUGGCUUACCAAGGCUUUGACGGGUAGCCGGCCUGAGAGGGUGACCGGCCACAUUGGGACUGAGAUACGGCCCAGACUCCUACGGGAGGCAGCAGUGGGGAAUAUUGCACAAUGGGCGGAAGCCUGAUGCAGCAACGCCGCGUGCGGGAUGACGGCCUUCGGGUUGUAAACCGCUUUCGCCUGUGACGAAGCGUGAGUGACGGUAAUGGGUAAAGAAGCACCGACUAACUACGUG